This is a long non-coding RNA of Bactrocera neohumeralis, 1593 nucleotides long. RefSeq lists it as uncharacterized. NCBI's taxonomy places the organism in Eukaryota, Metazoa, Arthropoda, Insecta, Diptera, Tephritidae. The transcript has 3 exons. The record is from RefSeq and is a predicted model, not a curated record.
CUUCCUCUUGCUGUUGCUGCAGUAGCACCUGCCCUUGAUGUUCCUCUGUUGCUGAGCGUAUGCAGGCGCUUACCACUCGUGCAUGUGAUACGAUUUCAUGAAUUUCGGAAAAUGUGAGCAAUUAUUUUAAAAAUCUAAGACACAUCACUUGCAACUACACACCUAUACUGCUAUAUACGACAUUUAUGCUUGUGUAUAAAAGAAAAAUAUUAAACUCAUUUAUACUUCUAACAUUGAAUUCCUUUCACAUAAAUCAUCCCUGCAGUCACCUGCUUAGAGCGAAACCGCCUCCUAGAAGCACCAAGAGGUCAUUCCUCAACUACGUCGACCGACCAGACUUCGGACGCAACAAUGAACACCUUCACCGACUCCCUCUCAAUGCUUGCGUAUAUGGAGUCAAACCACCACCAAUUGCAGACGAAGAGCACGAGUUGCCGCGAGAAACGAAAGUGAUCCUUGCGAAUUUUCGUUUUGGAUACUGUAGCAGGUUCAAUUCCUACUUAUCCAGAAUAGACCCCGACACAUCUAAUAUAUGUUCUGCAUGUCCCACUAACCCCACUCAUCACACAACUCUCUCCCUUUGGUACGACCCCAUCGAAACAGCACGUUUCUUAGGCCUACCGUUGGAUGAUGACAAGUUGAGCAAGAACGCGUUUCAUACCCAAAAUAUCCACCAAAAUCAUACGAACGGACUCUCGAGAUAUGUCAAGCUCUCUUGUCAUCUCUCUAACACUUGCCUGACGAUUAUCAAGCAUCAUAUCUUUUACACUUUUAAUAUUUUCAUCAGUUGAAGAAGUCGAAGGUUAUCUAGAAGGAGACAUGUCUUCAACGAUCUCUCGAAGGGUUUGUACGACUCGUAGACUUGUACUUUUGAUAAAACUGAAUCAUCGUAAGCCUUCUUCAACAUAUGCAACUAAUUUGGUUAGAAAUACAGAACUUGAGAUAAAUUCUUUGUUCGAUAUUUUUAUCGAUUGUAAAAAUUGCAACAAACUACUGAGGUGUAUCGACUUAAGGGGGUAUUAUGCUAAACAAUUUUCAAAACAACGAAACAAAUUUGUUUGCUGUUUUGAUUACUUUAAGCCCUUAAUAAUAAUGUAGAAAUUUUCCUUUGACUCAGAUGGUAACGGAAAGUUUUUAAAAACGAGAUCUGUCGGGCGCUCGAAUCGCACAGCUGGCGUGUCGAGUCGAUUCUUUUGUUGACCUUUAAAUGCGUUUUUCGCGAAACAAUGUUUUUUGAACUGGUACCCACGAUUCCAGCCAAUCUCCUUGGCCGAUUUGUCUAAUUUUUUUUUGGAAUUUUCAGAAAAGACUUGGCUAUCUAAUGACCUAUAAUCAUCAUUGUUAAUAGAUAUUUGACAACAUUAGGACACAAUUAGUAACCAAAAAUAGGUGAAAAAAAAAAAAAAAAAAAUUAAAAGUUGCACUAUUUGUUUAUUUAUCAACGAAUUGUUUCAGUCGAAGGUCAUUAGAUCGCUAUUCAUAUGUACUCUAAAAUAAAAUUUAUCCCGUUCGUUUCAGAUCAUCCACAAUGAAGAAAUCGUGGGUACCACUUUAAAGAUGGCGUCUUCCGUUCAGCCAUAUCUCCACUGGAUA